ACGGGUUAGUAACGCGUAGGAAUCUGCCUAGUAGUGGGGGAUAACUACCGGAAACGGUAGCUAAUACCGCAUACGCCCUACGGGGGAAAGCAGGGGAUCUUCGGACCUUGCGCUAUUGGAGAUGCCUGCGUCGGAUUAGCUAGUUGGUGGGGUAAAGGCCCACCAAGGCGACGAUCCGUAGCUGGUCUGAGAGGAUGAUCAGCCACACUGGGACUGAGACACGGCCCAGACUCCUACGGGAGGCAGCAGCGGGGAAUAUUGGACAAUGGGCGCAAGCCUGAUACAGCCAUGCCGCUUGGGUGAAGAAGUCCGUAGGGGUGUAAAGCUCUUUCAGUAGGGAGGAAAAGUUAGGCGUUAAUAACGUCUAGCCGGUACGUUACCUACAGAAGAAGCACCGGCAAACUCCGUGCCAGCAGCCGCGGUAAUACGGAUGGUGCGAGCGUUAAUCGGAAUUACUGGGCGUAAAGCGUGCGUAGGCGGUUUGUUAAGUGAGAUGUGAAAUCCCCGGGCUCAACCUGGGAACUGCAUUUAAAACUGGCUGGCUAGAGUAUGGUAGAGGAUAGUGGAAUUUCCGGUGUAGCGGUGAAAUGCGUAGAGAUCGGAAGUAACAUCAGUGUCGAAGGCGGCUAUCUUGACCAAUACUUAACGCUGAGGGGCGAAAGCGUGGGGAGCAAACAGGAUUAGAUACCCUGGUAGUCCACGCCGUAAACGAUGUCAACUAGCCGUUGGGGGGCUUGUCCCCUUAGUGGCGCAGCUAACGCGAUAAGUUGACCGCCUGGGGAGUACGGCCGCAAGGUUAAAACUCAAAUGAAUUGACGGGGGCCCGCACAAGCGGUGGAGCAUGUGGUUUAAUUCGAUGCAACGCGAAGAACCUUACCAGCCCUUGACAUCCUGCGAAUUUUCUAGAGAUAGAUUAGUGCCUUCGGGAACGCAGUGACAGGUGCUGCAUGGCUGUCGUCAGCUCGUAUCGUGAGAUGUUGGGUUAAGUCCCGUAACGAGCGCAACCCUUGCCCUUAGUUGCCAGCACGUAAUGGUGGGAACUCUAGGGGGACUGCCGGUGAUAAACCGGAGGAAGGUGAGGAUGACGUCAAGUCAUCAUGGCCCUUAUGGGCUGGGCUACACACGUGCUACAAUGGCCGGUACAGAGGGCCGCAAACCCGCGAGGGGGAGCAAAUCUCACAAAACCGGUCGUAGUCCGGAUCGGAGUCUGCAACUCGA
RNAcentral lists this ribosomal RNA (1218 nucleotides) under uncultured prokaryote. Its description in RNAcentral is "partial 16S ribosomal RNA". It matches the Rfam family "Bacterial small subunit ribosomal RNA", at positions 102 to 1315 of the family's 1533-position model. The record is from RNAcentral.